This 2525-nucleotide ribosomal RNA is filed under the name Staphylococcus aureus R0294. RNAcentral describes it as "bacterial LSU rRNA". It matches the Rfam family "Bacterial large subunit ribosomal RNA", at positions 3 to 2526 of the family's 2925-position model. Lineage: Bacteria; Bacillati; Bacillota; Bacilli; Caryophanales; Staphylococcaceae. The record is from RNAcentral.
UUAAGUUAUUAAGGGCGCACGGUGGAUGCCUUGGCACUAGAAGCCGAUGAAGGACGUUACUAACGACGAUAUGCUUUGGGGAGCUGUAAGUAAGCUUUGAUCCAGAGAUUUCCGAAUGGGGAAACCCAGCAUGAGUUAUGUCAUGUUAUCGAUAUGUGAAUACAUAGCAUAUCAGAAGGCACACCCGGAGAACUGAAACAUCUUAGUACCCGGAGGAAGAGAAAGAAAAUUCGAUUCCCUUAGUAGCGGCGAGCGAAACGGGAAGAGCCCAAACCAACAAGCUUGCUUGUUGGGGUUGUAGGACACUCUAUACGGAGUUACAAAGGACGACAUUAGACGAAUCAUCUGGAAAGAUGAAUCAAAGAAGGUAAUAAUCCUGUAGUCGAAAAUGUUGUCUCUCUUGAGUGGAUCCUGAGUACGACGGAGCACGUGAAAUUCCGUCGAAAUCUGGGAGGACCAUCUCCUAAGGCUAAAUACUCUCUAGUGACCGAUAGUGAACCAGUACCGUGAGGGAAAGGUGAAAAGCACCCCGGAAGGGGAGUGAAAUAGAACCUGAAACCGUGUGCUUACAAGUAGUCAGAGCCCGUUAAUGGGUGAUGGCGUGCCUUUUGUAGAAUGAACCGGCGAGUUACGAUUUGAUGCAAGGUUAAGCAGUAAAUGUGGAGCCGUAGCGAAAGCGAGUCUGAAUAGGGCGUUUAGUAUUUGGUCGUAGACCCGAAACCAGGUGAUCUACCCUUGGUCAGGUUGAAGUUCAGGUAACACUGAAUGGAGGACCGAACCGACUUACGUUGAAAAGUGAGCGGAUGAACUGAGGGUAGCGGAGAAAUUCCAAUCGAACCUGGAGAUAGCUGGUUCUCUCCGAAAUAGCUUUAGGGCUAGCCUCAAGUGAUGAUUAUUGGAGGUAGAGCACUGUUUGGACGAGGGGCCCCUCUCGGGUUACCGAAUUCAGACAAACUCCGAAUGCCAAUUAAUUUAACUUGGGAGUCAGAACAUGGGUGAUAAGGUCCGUGUUCGAAAGGGAAACAGCCCAGACCACCAGCUAAGGUCCCAAAAUAUAUGUUAAGUGGAAAAGGAUGUGGCGUUGCCCAGACAACUAGGAUGUUGGCUUAGAAGCAGCCAUCAUUUAAAGAGUGCGUAAUAGCUCACUAGUCGAGUGACACUGCGCCGAAAAUGUACCGGGGCUAAACAUAUUACCGAAGCUGUGGAUUGUCCUUUGGACAAUGGUAGGAGAGCGUUCUAAGGGCGUUGAAGCAUGAUCGUAAGGACAUGUGGAGCGCUUAGAAGUGAGAAUGCCGGUGUGAGUAGCGAAAGACGGGUGAGAAUCCCGUCCACCGAUUGACUAAGGUUUCCAGAGGAAGGCUCGUCCGCUCUGGGUUAGUCGGGUCCUAAGCUGAGGCCGACAGGCGUAGGCGAUGGAUAACAGGUUGAUAUUCCUGUACCACCUAUAAUCGUUUUAAUCGAUGGGGGGACGCAGUAGGAUAGGCGAAGCGUGCGAUUGGAUUGCACGUCUAAGCAGUAAGGCUGAGUAUUAGGCAAAUCCGGUACUCAUUAAGGCUGAGCUGUGAUGGGGAGAAGACAUUGUGUCUUCGAGUCGUUGAUUUCACACUGCCGAGAAAAGCCUCUAGAUAGAAAAUAGGUGCCCGUACCGCAAACCGACACAGGUAGUCAAGAUGAGAAUUCUAAGGUGAGCGAGCGAACUCUCGUUAAGGAACUCGGCAAAAUGACCCCGUAACUUCGGGAGAAGGGGUGCUCUUUAGGGUUAACGCCCAGAAGAGCCGCAGUGAAUAGGCCCAAGCGACUGUUUAUCAAAAACACAGGUCUCUGCUAAACCGUAAGGUGAUGUAUAGGGGCUGACGCCUGCCCGGUGCUGGAAGGUUAAGAGGAGUGGUUAGCUUCUGCGAAGCUACGAAUCGAAGCCCCAGUAAACGGCGGCCGUAACUAUAACGGUCCUAAGGUAGCGAAAUUCCUUGUCGGGUAAGUUCCGACCCGCACGAAAGGCGUAACGAUUUGGGCACUGUCUCAACGAGAGACUCGGUGAAAUCAUAGUACCUGUGAAGAUGCAGGUUACCCGCGACAGGACGGAAAGACCCCGUGGAGCUUUACUGUAGCCUGAUAUUGAAAUUCGGCACAGCUUGUACAGGAUAGGUAGGAGCCUUUGAAACGUGAGCGCUAGCUUACGUGGAGGCGCUGGUGGGAUACUACCCUAGCUGUGUUGGCUUUCUAACCCGCACCACUUAUCGUGGUGGGAGACAGUGUCAGGCGGGCAGUUUGACUGGGGCGGUCGCCUCCUAAAAGGUAACGGAGGCGCUCAAAGGUUCCCUCAGAAUGGUUGGAAAUCAUUCAUAGAGUGUAAAGGCAUAAGGGAGCUUGACUGCGAGACCUACAAGUCGAGCAGGGUCGAAAGACGGACUUAGUGAUCCGGUGGUUCCACAUGGAAGGGCCAUCGCUCAACGGAUAAAAGCUACCCCGGGGAUAACAGGCUUAUCUCCCCCAAGAGUUCACAUCGACGGGGAGGUUUGGCACCU